UGGUGUACAGGUGGUGCAUGGUUGUCGUCAGCUCGUGUCGUGAGAUGUUGGGUUAAGUCCCGCAACGAGCGCAACCCUUGUCUUAUGUUGCCAGCAUUUGGUUGGGGACUCAUGAGAGACUGCCGGGGUUAACUCGGAGGAAGGUGGGGAUGACGUCAAAUCAUCAUGCCCCUUAUGUCCAGGGCUUCACACAUGCUACAAUGGUCGGUACAACGCGCAGCGACACUGUGAGGUGGAGCGAAUCGCUGAAAGCCGGUCUUAGUUCGGAUUGGGGUCUGCAACUCGACCCCAUGAAGUCGGAGUCGCUAGUAAUCGCAGAUCAGCAACGCUGCGGUGAAUACGUUCCCGGGCCUUGUACACACCGCCCGUCACGUCAUGAAAGUUGGUAACACCCGAAGCCAGUGGCCUAAACUUGUUAGGGAGCUGUCGAAGGUGGGAUCGGCGAUUGGGACGAAGUCGUAACAAGGUACCCGUACCGGAAGGUGCGGGUGGAUCACCUCCUUUCUAAGGAG
RNAcentral lists this ribosomal RNA (512 nucleotides) under Corynebacterium sp. HMSC055A01. RNAcentral describes it as "bacterial SSU rRNA". It matches the Rfam family "Bacterial small subunit ribosomal RNA", at positions 1028 to 1533 of the family's 1533-position model. Lineage: Bacteria; Bacillati; Actinomycetota; Actinomycetes; Mycobacteriales; Corynebacteriaceae. The record is from RNAcentral.